GACGAACGCUGGCGGCGUGCUUAACACAUGCAAGUCGAACGGAAAGGCCAUGCUUUUGUGGGGUGCUCGAGUGGCGAACGGGUGAGUAACACGUGAGUAACCUGCCCUUGACUUUGGGAUAACUUCAGGAAACUGGGGCUAAUACCGGAUAGGAGCUCCUGCUGCAUGGUGGGGGUUGGAACGUUUCGGCGGUUGGGGAUGGACUCGCGGCUUAUCAGCUUGUUGGUGGGGUAGUGGCUUACCAAGGCUUUGACGGGUAGCCGGCCUGAGAGGGUGACCGGCCACAUUGGGACUGAGAUACGGCCCAGACUCCUACGGGAGGCAGCAGUGGGGAAUAUUGCACAAUGGGCGGAAGCCUGAUGCAGCAACGCCGCGUGCGGGAUGACGGCCUUCGGGUUGUAAACCGCUUUCGCCUGUGACGAAGCGUGAGUGACGGUAAUGGGUAAAGAAGCACCGGCUAACUACGUG
This 468-nucleotide ribosomal RNA is filed under the name uncultured bacterium. Its description in RNAcentral is "partial 16S ribosomal RNA". It matches the Rfam family "Bacterial small subunit ribosomal RNA", at positions 28 to 507 of the family's 1533-position model. The record is from RNAcentral.